AACUUUCAACAACGGAUCUCUUGGUUCUCGCAUCGAUGAAGAACGCAGCGAAUUGCGAUAAGUAAUGUGAAUUGCAGAAUUUUGUGAAUCAUCGAAUCUUUGAACGCACAUUGCACCCUUUGGUAUUCCAAAGGGUAUACCUGUUUGAGCGUCAUUUCUCUCUUAAACCCUCGGGUUUAGUGUUGAACUGAUUUCUGUUUUUAACAGAAACAGUUUGAAAUGAAAUGGCAAGGCGAAUUCUACCUAGCAUUACAGUGUCUUAGGUUUUACCAACUACGCUGGACUUGCUAUUGAAUUAUGCCGGGCGGUAUAAACUUUUUUUUUAAG
This 327-nucleotide unclassified non-coding RNA is filed under the name uncultured Saccharomycetales. Its description in RNAcentral is "sequence contains 5.8S rRNA gene, ITS2". The stretch from base 1 to 154 matches the Rfam family "5.8S ribosomal RNA". The record is from RNAcentral. Lineage: Eukaryota; Fungi; Ascomycota; Saccharomycetes.